UUACGGGAGGCAGCAGUGGGGAAUAUUGCACAAUGGGGGAAACCCUGAUGCAGCAACGCCGCGUGAGUGAUGAAGGUCUUCGGAUUGUAAAGCUCUGUCUUUUGGGACGAUAAUGACGGUACCAAAGGAGGAAGCCACGGCUAACUACGUGCCAGCAGCCGCGGUAAUACGUAGGUGGCAAGCGUUGUCCGGAUUUACUGGGCGUAAAGGGUGCGUAGGCGGAUAUUUAAGUGAGAUGUGAAAUCCCCGAGCUUAACUUGGGUACUGCAUUUCAAACUGGAUAUCUAGAGUGCAGGAGAGGAGAAUGGAAUUCCUAGUGUAGCGGUGAAAUGCGUAGAGAUUAGGAAGAACACCAGUGGCGAAGGCGAUUCUCUGGACUGUAACUGACGCUGAGGCACGAAAGCGUGGGUAGCAAACAGGAUUAGAUACCCUGGU
This 435-nucleotide ribosomal RNA is filed under the name uncultured bacterium. RNAcentral describes it as "bacterial SSU rRNA". It matches the Rfam family "Bacterial small subunit ribosomal RNA", at positions 339 to 791 of the family's 1533-position model. The record is from RNAcentral.